UGGGGAAUAUUGGACAAUGGGCGAAAGCCUGAUCCAGCAAUGCCGCGUGAGUGAUGAAGGCCUUAGGGUUGUAAAGCCCUUUUACCCGGGAUGAUAAUGACAGUACCGGGAGAAUAAGCUCCGGCUAACUCCGUGCCAGCAGCCGCGGUAAUACGGAGGGAGCUAGCGUUGUUCGGAAUUACUGGGCGUAAAGCGCACGUAGGCGGCGAUUCAAGUCAGAGGUGAAAGCCCGGGGCUCAACCCCGGAACUGCCUUUGAAACUAGAUUGCUAGAAUCCUGGAGAGGUUAGUGGAAUUCCGAGUGUAGAGGUGAAAUUCGUAGAUAUUCGGAAGAACACCAGUGGCGAAGGCGACUAACUGGACAGGUAUUGACGCUGAGGUGCGAAAGCGUGGGGAGCAAAC
This 401-nucleotide ribosomal RNA is filed under the name uncultured bacterium. RNAcentral describes it as "bacterial SSU rRNA". It matches the Rfam family "Bacterial small subunit ribosomal RNA", at positions 355 to 773 of the family's 1533-position model. The record is from RNAcentral.